Molecule: ribosomal RNA, 498 nt
Filed under: uncultured bacterium
Lineage: Bacteria
Description: SSU rRNA
Rfam family: Bacterial small subunit ribosomal RNA
Source: RNAcentral
AGGACGAACGCUGGCGGCGUGCUUAACACAUGCAAGUGGAGCGACGAACCAGGGCUUGCCCUGGGGCAGAGCCGCGAACGGGUGAGUAACACGUGGGUUACCUGCCUCGAUGACCGGGACAACCCGAGGAAAACUCGGGCUAAUACCGGAUGUGCCCGUAAGGGGAAAGGAAGCUUCGGCCUCCGCAUCGAGAUGGGCCCGCGGCCCAUUAGCUUGUUGGUGAGGUAACGGCUCACCAAGGCUUCGAUGGGUAGCUGGUCUGAGAGGACGAUCAGCCACACUGGGACUGAGACACGGCCCAGACUCCUACGGGAGGCAGCAGUGGGGAAUCUUGCGCAAUGCGCGAAAGCGUGACGCAGCAACGCCGCGUGGGGGAAGAAGGCUUUCGGGUUGUAAACCCCUUUCACGUUGGGACGAAGCUUACUCCGGUGAAUAGCCGGACGGAGUGACGGUACCUUCACAAGAAGCACCGGCUAACUACGCGCCAGCAGCCGCGGU